RNAcentral lists this long non-coding RNA (635 nucleotides) under Rattus norvegicus (Norway rat). RNAcentral describes it as "long non-coding RNA NONRATT015388". Lineage: Eukaryota; Metazoa; Chordata; Mammalia; Rodentia; Muridae. The record is from RNAcentral.
GUUUAUCUUUCUUCUUUGUUCCUUUUAGAACUGUCACGUAGAGUAGGUAAUGUAUGUAGAGGUAAUGUAUGAGGUCAUCUAGCACUGCAGCCCAACCUGUAUUGGAUUCCAGUGAUUGCCACAAGUCACUUCCCUAUCAUUUCCUCUCUUCAUGGUGAGCCUAGCUGACUGGAAGGGUGUGUUUGCAGAGCACUCUAGAGAUUGUGGCCAUGGAAUGUGGAGGUGGGGGUACUGGCGUGUCCGUGCCUAGCUCCUAGCUGCUUUGAUCCUGCCCUUUUCACACGUAAGGGUAUCAGUUCCCGGAUUGGGCCUACAAAGCCGAGUCGUCGCCAGGCUCCCGGCAGAUCCAGCUGUGGCACUUCAUCUUGGAACUGCUGCAGAAGGAAGAGUUCCGCCAUGUCAUCGCCUGGCAGCAGGGAGAGUACGGGGAGUUUGUCAUCAAGGAUCCAGAUGAAGUGGCUCGCCUCUGGGGCCGCAGGAAGUGCAAACCACAGAUGAACUACGACAAGCUGAGCCGGGCCCUCAGAUACUAUUACAACAAGAGGAUCCUUCAUAAGACAAAAGGGAAAAGGUUUACUUACAAGUUCAACUUCAGCAAGCUGGUGAUGCCCAACUACCCUUUCAUCAACAUCCGC